GGAUUAGAUACCCUGGUAGUCCACGCCGUAAACGAUGGGUACUAGGUGUUCGGGGUAUUGACCCCUCGAGUGCCGCAGCUAACGCAUUAAGUACCCCGCCUGGGGAAUACGGCCGCAAGGUUAAAACUCAAAGGAAUUGACGGGGGCCCGCACAAGCGGUGGAGCAUGUGGUUUAAUUCGACGCAACGCGAAGAACCUUACCUGGGCUAGACAACACUGGACAGCCCCAGAGAUGGGGUCUUCCCUUCGGGGACUGGUGGUUCAGGUGCUGCAUGGCUGUCGUCAGCUCGUGCCG
RNAcentral lists this ribosomal RNA (295 nucleotides) under uncultured bacterium. RNAcentral describes it as "partial 16S ribosomal RNA". It matches the Rfam family "Bacterial small subunit ribosomal RNA", at positions 775 to 1067 of the family's 1533-position model. The record is from RNAcentral.